Molecule: ribosomal RNA, 611 nt
Filed under: Entoloma abortivum
Lineage: Eukaryota; Fungi; Basidiomycota; Agaricomycetes; Agaricales; Entolomataceae
Description: partial large subunit ribosomal RNA
Rfam family: Eukaryotic large subunit ribosomal RNA
Source: RNAcentral
GAGGAAAAGAAACUAACAAGGAUUCCCCUAGUAACUGCGAGUGAAGCGGGAAAAGCUCAAAUUUAAAAUCUGGUAGUCUUUGGCUGCCCGAGUUGUAAUCUAGAGAAGCGUUAUCCGCGUUGGACCGUGUAUAAGUCUCCUGGAAUGGAGCGUCAUAGAGGGUGAGAAUCCCGUCUUUGACACGGACUACCAGGGCUUUGUGAUGCGCUCUCAAAGAGUCGAGUUGUUUGGGAAUGCAGCUCUAAAUGGGUGGUAAAUUCCAUCUAAAGCUAAAUAUUGGCGAGAGACCGAUAGCGAACAAGUACCGUGAGGGAAAGAUGAAAAGAACUUUGGAAAGAGAGUUAAACAGUACGUGAAAUUGUUGAAAGGGAAACGCUUGAAGUCAGUCGCGUUGACCAGGGAUCAACCUUGCUUUUGCAUGGUGUACUUCCUGAUUAACGGGUCAGCAUCAAUUUUGACCAGUGGAAAAAGUUCGAGGGAAUGUGGCAUCUUCGGAUGUGUUAUAGCCCUUGGUCGUAUACAUUGGUUGGGAUUGAGGAACUCAGCACGCCGCAAGGCCGGGUUUUAACCACGUUCGUGCUUAGGAUGCUGGCAUAAUGGCUUUAAUCGAC